CAAUAGCGUAUAUUUAAGUUGCUGCAGUUAAAAAGCUCGUAGUUGGAUUUCGGGUGGGAAUGGCCGGUCCGCCGUUUCGGUGUGCACUUGCUACGCCCACCUUGCUGCCGGGGAAGUGCUCUUGAGUUCACGCUCGGGACACGGAGUCGGCGAGGUUACUUUGAGUAAAUUAGAGUGUUCAAAGCAGGCCUACGCUCUGAAUACAUUAGCAUGGAAUAACACGAUAGGACUCUGGCCUAUCUUGUUGGUCUGUAGGACCGGAGUAAUGAUUAAGAGGGACAGUCGGGGGCAUUCGUAUUUCAUUGUCAGAGGUGAAAUUCUUGGAUUUAUGAAAGACGAACUACUGCGAAAGCAUUUGCCAAGGAUGUUUUCAUUAA
Molecule: ribosomal RNA, 377 nt
Filed under: uncultured eukaryote
Lineage: Eukaryota
Description: partial 18S ribosomal RNA
Rfam family: Eukaryotic small subunit ribosomal RNA
Source: RNAcentral